RNAcentral lists this ribosomal RNA (448 nucleotides) under uncultured bacterium. Its description in RNAcentral is "bacterial SSU rRNA". It matches the Rfam family "Bacterial small subunit ribosomal RNA", at positions 355 to 796 of the family's 1533-position model. The record is from RNAcentral.
UGGGGAAUCUUGCGCAAUGGGCGAAAGCCUGACGCAGCGACGCCGCGUGAGUGAUGAAGGCCUUCGGGUUGUAAAGCUCUGUGGGGCGAGACGAAUAAGUGCAGCCUAAUACGUUGCAUGAUGACGGUAUCGCCUUAGCAAGCACCGGCUAACUCUGUGCCAGCAGCCGCGGUAAGACAGAGGGUGCAAACGUUGUUCGGAAUUACUGGGCGUAAAGCGAGUGUAGGCGGUCUUCUAAGUCGGGUGUGAAAGCCCCGGGCUCAACCCGGGAAGUGCACUCGAAACUGGAAGGCUAGAGUAUCGGAGAGGUUGGUGGAAUUCUCGGUGUAGAGGUGAAAUUCGUAGAUAUCGAGAGGAACACCGGUGGCGAAGGCGGCCAACUGGACGAAUACUGACGCUGAGACUCGAAAGCGUGGGGAGCAAACAGGAUUAGAUACCCGUGUAGUCC